GCAGGCCGUCGAAGGUGACCUGCGGAGGGUCAUUACAGAGACUCUGCCCUUUGGGUAGACCUCCCACCCUGUGUCGUUAUACCUUCGUUGCUUUGGCGGGCCGCGGGGCCCCGGCCCUGCCCCUGGCUCCGGCUAGGGCGCGCCCGCCAGAGGACCUCAAAACCUGAAUGUUAGUGUCGUCUGAGUACUAUAUAAUAGUUAAAACUUUCAACAACGGAUCUCUUGGUUCUGGCAUCGAAUAAAAAACGCAGCGAAAUGCGAUAAGUAAUGUGAAUUGCAGAAUUCAGUGAAUCAUCGAAUCUUUGAACGCACAUUGCGCCCCUCGGUAUUCCGGGGGGCAUGCCUGUUCGAGCGUCAUUACAACCCUCAAGCUCUGCUUGGUCUUGGGCGUCACCGGUCCCCGGUGUGCCUUAAAAUCAGUGGCGGCGCCAUCUGGCUCUAAGCGUAGUACAUACUCUCGCUACAGACGUCCGGUGGAUGCUGGCCAGCAACCCCCAAUUUAUCAAGGUUGACCUCGGAUCAGGUAGGGAUACCCGCUGAACUUAAGCAUAUCAAAAGCGGGAGGAA
Molecule: ribosomal RNA, 567 nt
Filed under: Pezicula ericae
Lineage: Eukaryota; Fungi; Ascomycota; Leotiomycetes; Helotiales; Dermateaceae
Description: eukaryotic LSU rRNA
Rfam family: 5.8S ribosomal RNA (bases 203-357)
Source: RNAcentral